Molecule: unclassified non-coding RNA, 324 nt
Filed under: soil metagenome
Description: partial contains 5.8S ribosomal RNA, internal transcribed spacer 2, and large subunit ribosomal RNA
Rfam family: 5.8S ribosomal RNA (bases 1-120)
Source: RNAcentral
GAUGAAGAACGUAGCGAAAUGCGAUAAGUAAUGCGAAUUGCAGUAUUCAGUGAGUCAUCGAAUCUUUGAACGCACAUUGCGCCCUGUGGUAUUCCGCAGGGCAUGCCUGUUCGAGCGUCAUUUCAACCCUCAAGCCUCGCUUGGUGUUGGGCCCUGCCCGCCGCGGCCGGCCCUAAAGAUAGUGGCGGCGCCGCCUGGCCCUCAGCGUAGUACAGCUCUCGCUCCAGGGUCCGGCGGCAGCCUGCCAGAACCCCCCAACUCUGUGGUUGACCUCGGAUCAGGUAGGGAUACCCGCUGAACUUAAGCAUAUCAAUAAGCGGAGGA